Molecule: ribosomal RNA, 468 nt
Filed under: uncultured bacterium
Lineage: Bacteria
Description: partial 16S ribosomal RNA
Rfam family: Bacterial small subunit ribosomal RNA
Source: RNAcentral
GACGAACGCUGGCGGCGUGCUUAACACAUGCAAGUCGAACGGAAAGGCCCUGCUUUUGUGGGGUGCUCGAGUGGCGAACGGGUGGGUAACACGUGAGUAACCUGCCCUUGACUUUGGGAUAACUUCAGGAAACUGGGGCUAAUACCGGAUAGGAGCUCCUGCUGCAUGGUGGGGGUUGGAAAGUUUCGGCGGUUGGGGAUGGACUCGCGGCUUAUCAGCUUGUUGGUGGGGUAGUGGCUUACCAAGGCUUUGACGGGUAGCCGGCCUGAGAGGGUGACCGGCCACACUGGGCCUGAGAUGCGGCCCAGACUCCUACGGGAGGCAGAAGUGGGGAAUAUUGCACAAUGGGCGGAAGCCUGAUGCAGCAACGCCGCGUGCGGGAUGACGGCCUGCGGGUUGUAAACCGCUUUCGCCUGUGACGAAGCGUGAGUGACGGUAAUGGGUAAAGAAGCACCGGCUAACUACGUG